GAUGGCCAUAUUAUGCUGAAACACUGGUUCUUGUAUGAUUACUGAAGUUAAGCAAUAUUGAGCCUGGUCAAUAUCUAGAUGGGUGACCACUUGGGAAUACCAGAUGCC
This is a non-coding RNA of Acanthosepion pharaonis, 108 nucleotides long. Lineage: Eukaryota; Metazoa; Mollusca; Cephalopoda; Sepiida; Sepiidae. The record is from the annotation of a GenBank genome assembly.